AUGCCCCUGGUGUACUGGAGUCCGGACUCGGGAUCCCUGGCUUAUCCCUGUGUGUGGGAGAAAUUGGUCACAAAUAUGGAGCUCCCUUUAUCAAUAAGGAACACAGUCAAAACUGCCAGUCAGACAAAUAGACACACAACUCACACACAACAUAAUAGAUAUACAGGUAGACUAACAGGUAAACUUACAGAUGGACGAACAGACAGACAGAUGGAAGCCCUUGUGUUCAUUCCAGGGCCCCCCUCACCUACAGCCAUCCGUCCCUGGUCCAGGAACUGGACAAUCACAUUGCACAGAGAAAUUCAAGCAGAACUUCAAACUUCAAGAGGGCAGAAAGUCAGAAGAAAAACCAGACGAAGUACAGUACGACAUCUUCACCGCACCGAAGGACGCCAUCUAUUUUAUCCAUGGCCAGGUGAACAGAGCAGACGGCAAGGGGAAAGUCUACCUGUUUUGGAAACACAUUAG
RNAcentral lists this long non-coding RNA (468 nucleotides) under Oncorhynchus mykiss (rainbow trout). Its description in RNAcentral is "lncRNA (ENSOMYG00000057504.1)". The record is from RNAcentral. Lineage: Eukaryota; Metazoa; Chordata; Actinopteri; Salmoniformes; Salmonidae.